AACAAACGCUGGCGGCGUGCCUAAUACAUGCAAGUCGAACGGGUAGCAAUAUCAGUGGCGCACGGGUGAGGAAUACAUAGAUAAUCUGCCUUCGAGUCGGGGAUAACCAGUCGAAAGACUGGCUAAUACCGGAUAAGACCACAGGAUCUGCGGAUCUAGGGGUUAAAGGUUUUUCGCUUGAAGAUGAGUCUAUGCGAGAUUAGCUAGUUGGUGAGGUAAUGGCUCACCAAGGCGACGAUCUCUAACUGGUCUUAGAGGAUGAUCAGUCACACUGGAACUGAGACACGGUCCAGACUCCUACGGGAGGCAGCAGUAGGGAAUAUUGCGCAAUGGGGGAAACCCUGACGCAGCGACGCCGCGUGAGUGAUGAAGGCCUUCGGGUCGUAAAGCUCUGUCGUAUGGGAAUAACACAAUGAAUGUACCAUGCAGGAAAGGAUCGGCUAACUUCGUGCCAGCCGCCGCGUAA
Molecule: ribosomal RNA, 466 nt
Filed under: uncultured bacterium
Lineage: Bacteria
Description: partial 16S ribosomal RNA
Rfam family: Bacterial small subunit ribosomal RNA
Source: RNAcentral